UAKUUWGAUCCUKSCUYAGWAURAACGCWWMGCUAKAURCRUAUACUAAAGUUUUGUUYCUGGCUCAGRGCGAACGCUGGCGGCAGGCUUAACACAUGCAAGUCGAGCGGGCAUAGCAAUAUGUCAGCGGCAGACGGGUGAGUAACGCGUGGGAACGUACCUUUUGGUUYGGAACAACUGAGGGAAACUUCAGCUAAUACCGGAUAAGCCCUUACGGGGAAAGAUUUAUCGCCGAAAGAUCGGCCCGCGUCUGAUUAGCUAGUUGGUGAGGUAAUGGCUCACCAAGGCGACGAUCAGUAGCUGGUCUGAGAGGAUGAUCASCCACAUUGGGACUGAGACACGGCCCAAACUCCUACGGGAGGCAGCAGUGGGGAAUAUUGGACAAUGGGCGCAAGCCUGAUCCAGCCAUGCCGMGUGAGUGAUGAAGGCCCUAGGGUUGUAAAGCUYUUUUGUGCGGGAAGAUAAUGACGUACCGCAU
This 478-nucleotide ribosomal RNA is filed under the name uncultured Bradyrhizobium sp. RNAcentral describes it as "bacterial SSU rRNA". It matches the Rfam family "Bacterial small subunit ribosomal RNA", at positions 1 to 464 of the family's 1533-position model. Lineage: Bacteria; Pseudomonadati; Pseudomonadota; Alphaproteobacteria; Hyphomicrobiales; Nitrobacteraceae. The record is from RNAcentral.